Molecule: long non-coding RNA, 324 nt
Organism: Bombyx mori (domestic silkworm)
Lineage: Eukaryota; Metazoa; Arthropoda; Insecta; Lepidoptera; Bombycidae
Exons: 3
Source: RefSeq, a predicted model, not a curated record
UUAAAAUUAUUUUCUUUUAUAUUAUUUCUAAUUCUUCAAUUCGUCAAACACAGAUUUUCAGUCACGAUGAUUCACUUUAAUUACGCACUUGAUUAUUUUCAACUGAUAUUGAUAUGCACUUUCACUAUGGAGUAAAUUGGAAACGCCACACGCCUUAGGACUCGCAGAUUUUCCACAGGAACAACAGGGUCGAGACUAAGUGUUCGCCAGGAUAAUGCGGCGUAUUUGAGCACGAAAUUCUUCUUAAUUAUUGGAAUUGAGAUGGAUAUGAGUUUGAUGCACUUCUUGACACUCGCGGCAAAGUCACUUUAGUUUUCACUUUUA